AUUGAACGCUGGCGGCAUGCCUUACACAUGCAAGUCGAACGGUAGCGGGCCUUCGGGUGCCGACGAGUGGCGAACGGGUGAGUAAUGUAUCGGAACGUACCUUUCAGUGGGGGAUAACGUAGCGAAAGUUGCGCUAAUACCGCAUAUUCUGUGAGCAGGAAAGCAGGGGAUCGCAAGACCUUGCGCUGAUUGAGCGGCCGAUAUCAGAUUAGCUAGUUGGUGAGGUAAAGGCUCACCAAGGCGACGAUCUGUAGCGGGUCUGAGAGGAUGAUCCGCCACACUGGAACUGAGACACGGUCCAGACUCCUACGGGAGGCAGCAGUGGGGAAUUUUGGACAAUGGGGGCAACCCUGAUCCAGCCAUGCCGCGUGAGUGAAGAAGGCCUUCGGGUUGUAAAGCUCUUUCGGCCGGGAAGAAAUCGUAUCAGCUAAUACCUGGUGCGGAUGACGGUACCGGCAUAAGAAGCACCGGCUAACUACGUGCCAGCAGCCGCCGUAA
This 498-nucleotide ribosomal RNA is filed under the name uncultured bacterium. RNAcentral describes it as "partial 16S ribosomal RNA". It matches the Rfam family "Bacterial small subunit ribosomal RNA", at positions 30 to 523 of the family's 1533-position model. The record is from RNAcentral.